Molecule: ribosomal RNA, 248 nt
Filed under: uncultured Bacillota bacterium
Lineage: Bacteria; Bacillati; Bacillota
Description: uncultured Firmicutes bacterium partial 16S ribosomal RNA
Rfam family: Bacterial small subunit ribosomal RNA
Source: RNAcentral
CUAGCCGUAAACGAUGGGUACUAGGUGUAGGUGGUUUCGAUACCAUCUGUGCCGGAGUUAACGCAAUAAGUACCCCGCCUGGGGAGUACGUGCGCAAGCAUGAAACUCAAAGGAAUUGACGGGGACCCGCACAAGCAGCGGAGCAUGUGGUUUAAUUCGAUGCAACGCGAAGAACCUUACCAGGGCUUGACAUGUGGGUGAAAGCUGUAGAGAUACAGCCCUCUCUUCGGAGACAUCCAUACAGGUGG